AACGUAGGUGGCGAGCGUUAUCCGGAAUUACUGGGCGUAAAGCGUGUGCAGGCGGGCUGACAAGUGGGGUAUGAAAUAUCCCGGCUUAACCGGGAGGGGUUAUGCCAGACUGUCAGUCUUGAGUGCGAGAGAGGAGCGUGGAAUUCCGGGUGUAGUGGUGAAAUGCGUAGAUAUCGGGAGGAAUACCAGUGGCGAAGGCGGCUUCCUGGCCUGUUCUUGACGCUGAGGCGCGAAAGCUAGGGUAGCAAACGGG
RNAcentral lists this ribosomal RNA (253 nucleotides) under uncultured bacterium. RNAcentral describes it as "partial 16S ribosomal RNA". It matches the Rfam family "Bacterial small subunit ribosomal RNA", at positions 524 to 776 of the family's 1533-position model. The record is from RNAcentral.